This is an unclassified non-coding RNA of Cavia aperea (Brazilian guinea pig), 310 nucleotides long. Its record names the gene 7SK. It matches the Rfam family "7SK RNA". From Rfam's summary of the family: 7SK was discovered as an abundant small nuclear RNA in the mid-70s but a possible function has only recently been suggested. Two independent studies have found that 7SK RNA binds the CDK9/cyclin T complex (known as elongation factor P-TEFb). Lineage: Eukaryota; Metazoa; Chordata; Mammalia; Rodentia; Caviidae. The record is from Ensembl.
AGACAUGAGGUCACUCUGGCUGUGACAUGUGUCACCCCAUUGGCUAGGGUUGAUUUGGCUGAUCUGGCUGGCCAGGCGGGUCUGUCCCCUUCCUACCACCACUCCAUGCAUGUCCUUCCCACAGCUGUGCACUCACUUGGUGGAAGAGGACGACCACGCCCAGAGAGGAGGACUGUUUCCUCGGUCAAGUGUAUGUGAGUAGCUGUGCUCCCCUACUAGAACUUCUAAACCAGCUCUCAAAGUAAAAUUUACUUAUUUUGAUACCAGGAAUCAAACUCAGGACCUUGUGCUUGCCAGGCAAGCACUGUGC